Molecule: ribosomal RNA, 513 nt
Filed under: uncultured bacterium
Lineage: Bacteria
Description: partial 16S ribosomal RNA
Rfam family: Bacterial small subunit ribosomal RNA
Source: RNAcentral
GACGAACGCUGGCGGCAUGCCUAAUACAUGCAAGUCGAGCGAACAAAUGAAGUGCUUGCACUUCUGACGUUAGCGGCGAACGGGUGAGUAACACGUAAGGAAUCUACCUAUAAGCGGGGGAUAACAUUCGGAAACGGGUGCUAAUACCGCAUAAUAUCUUCUUCCGCAUGGAAGAAGAUUGAAAGACGGCUCUGCUGUCACUUAUAGAUGACCUUGCGGUGCAUUAGUUAGUUGGUGGGGUAACGGCCUACCAAGACGAUGAUGCAUAGCCGAGCUGAGAGGGGGUUCGGCCACAUUGGGACUGAGACACGGCCCAAACUCCGACGGGAGGCAGCAGUAGGGAAUCUUCCGCAAUGGGCGAAAGCCUGACGGAGCAAUGCCGCGUGAGUGAAGAAGGCCUUCGGGUCGUAAAACUCUGUUAUAAGAGAAGAACAAAUUGUAGAGUAACUGCUACAGUCUUGACGGUAUCUUAUCAGAAAGCCACGGCUAACUACGUGCCAGCCGCCGCCGUAA